UUACGGGAGGCAGCAGUAGGGAAUUUUCGUCAAUGGGGGAAACCCUGAACGAGCGACGCCGCGUGAGGGACGAAGGCCUUCGGGUUGUAAACCUCUGUCUUCAGGGACGAUAAUGACGGUACCUGAGGAGGAAGCCACGGCUAACUACGUGCCAGCAGCCGCGGUAAGACGUAGGUGGCGAGCGUUGUCCGGAAUUACUGGGCGUAAAGGGCGUGUAGGCGGCCUGUUAAGUCAGACGUGAAAUCCCUGGGCUUAACCUUGGGACUGCGUUUGAUACUGAUGGGCUUGAGGACAGGAGAGGAAAGCGGAACUCCGUGUGUAGCGGUGAAAUGCGUAGAUAUACGGAAGAACACCAGUGGCGAAGGCGGCUUUCUGGACUGUCCCUGACGCUGAGGCGCGAAAGCCAGGGGAGCGAACGGGAUUAGAUACCCCGGUAGG
This 438-nucleotide ribosomal RNA is filed under the name uncultured bacterium. RNAcentral describes it as "bacterial SSU rRNA". It matches the Rfam family "Bacterial small subunit ribosomal RNA", at positions 339 to 794 of the family's 1533-position model. The record is from RNAcentral.